RNAcentral lists this long non-coding RNA (859 nucleotides) under Dermacentor andersoni. RNAcentral's name for it is "uncharacterized LOC126526193". The record is from RNAcentral. Lineage: Eukaryota; Metazoa; Arthropoda; Arachnida; Ixodida; Ixodidae.
CUACACAACUAUAAAACGGUUGCAACCCUGAUCGCAGUCUAGCCAGUUUAAGACAAGCAAGGCAAGCCAGUUAGCUGAUUUGACGUCGCUCAGUACGCGAAAAUACAUUUAACCGCAACCUAUUUUUUCCGUUUUGUUUUUGCCCCACAUGCAAUAGGCCGCGCGUUUUUCCUUCCAAGAGUGUAACAAAAGGCCAGCGAGUCAUGCAUUGCUACCUAAAUAUGCGACUGCUAAUUCUGGGUAUCAUCGGCAUUGCUGUUCUGGCUAUUGCACAUGGAUACCCCGGAUCAAACCCGGAUGUUGGCUUGGUAGCACAAAGCGACGAAGAACGUGAGGGCAUCGUGGAUGGCUUCAAGAAUUUAAUUCAGCCUGUAGCAGAUGCCUUUCGGGAUUACGUAAUUAGUCCUCUAAAGAACUUCUUCGGCGCAGGUCCGGACAGCAACGAGUAAUCUACGUUAUUCCUUCGAAAUCGCUUUACAGUGCAAAAUGCUGUGCAGUUUUACGAAAGACCGCUCUCGACGCCACAAUCAAGCCGUAACCACAGUCCUGUUGCAGUUCUUUAAAGGGCUAGUUUGGCAGUUCAUUGUGUUGGAAACCACUCGCGCAUAAGGCACACUUGUAACUUGGCCGCUUUGGUUUAACUGUAAGGCACAUCUUAUGGUGCUUACUAUAAGACGUGUUCUAUUGGUGUCCUUUCUUUUCUGGAUGGUGUCUCAUUUUGUGCGGUUGGUAUAAAAAUAACUUGCGAGGAAUAACUGUGCGCGAUAUUGUAACUGAGGCACAAGUACUGUGUUACUCGUCGCACCUGAAGAGACACAGCGCUACGGUAGCAUAUGAAUAAAUAAUCAAUAAUCGCAAA